Molecule: ribosomal RNA, 682 nt
Filed under: uncultured bacterium
Lineage: Bacteria
Description: bacterial SSU rRNA
Rfam family: Bacterial small subunit ribosomal RNA
Source: RNAcentral
UAUCUGCAGUCGAGCGGAGCACUUCGGGUGCUUAGCGGCGGACGGGUGAGUAACACGUUAGGCAACCUGCCUGUAAGACUGGGAUAACUAUCGGAAACGAUAGCUAAGACCGGAUAACUGGUUUUCUCGCAUGGGAGAAUCAUGAAACACGGAGCAAUCUGUGGCUUACAGAUGGGCCUGCGGCGCAUUAGCUAGUUGGUGAGGUAACGGCUCACCAAGGCGACGAUGCGUAGCCGACCUGAGAGGGUGAACGGCCACACUGGGACUGAGACACGGCCCAGACUCCUACGGGAGGCAGCAGUAGGGAAUCUUCCGCAAUGGACGCAAGUCUGACGGAGCAACGCCGCGUGAGUGAUGAAGGUUUUCGGAUCGUAAAGCUCUGUUGCCCUAGACGAACAGCAAGGCGAGUAACUGCGCUUUGUGUGACGGUAUAGGAGAAGAAAGCCCCGGCUAACUACGUGCCAGCAGCCGCGGUAAUACGUAGGGGGCAAGCGUUGUCCGGAAUUAUUGGGCGUAAAGCGCGCGCAGGCGGUUAAUUAAGUUGGGUGUUUAAGCCCGGGCUCACCCCGGUUCGCAUCCAAAACUGGUUGACUUGAGUGUAGAAAAGAAAAUGAAAUUCCCCGUGUAGCGGUGAAAUCUAAAAAUGUGAAGAACACCCAUGGCAAAGGCAAUUUUCUGGCCU